This 481-nucleotide ribosomal RNA is filed under the name uncultured bacterium. Its description in RNAcentral is "bacterial SSU rRNA". It matches the Rfam family "Bacterial small subunit ribosomal RNA", at positions 30 to 507 of the family's 1533-position model. The record is from RNAcentral.
AUUGAACGCUGGCGGCAGGCUUAACACAUGCAAGUCGAACGAUGAAACUCUAGCUUGCUAGAGAUGAUUAGUGGCGGACGGGUGAGUAACAUUUAGGAAUCUGCCUAGUAGUGGGGGAUAGGCUCGGGGAAACUCGAAUUAAUACCGCAUACGACCUACGGGUGAAAGGGGGCGCAAGCUCUUGCUAUUAGAUGAGCCUAAAUCAGAUUAGCUAGUUGGUGGGGUAAAGGCCCACCAAGGCGACGAUCUGUAACUGGUCUGAGAGGAUGAUCAGUCACACCGGAACUGAGACACGGUCCGGACUCCUACGGGAGGCAGCAGUGGGGAAUAUUGGACAAUGGGGGCAACCCUGAUCCAGCCAUGCCGCGUGUGUGAAGAAGGCCUUUUGGUUGUAAAGCACUUUAAGCAGGGAGGAGAGGCUAAUGGUUAAUACCCAUUAGAUUAGACGUUACCUGCAGAAUAAGCACCGGCUAACUCUGUG